GUGUCAGCAGCCGCGGUAAUACGGAGGGUGCGAGCGUUAAUCGGAAUUACUGGGCGUAAAGCGCAUGCAGGUGGUUUGUUAAGUCAGUUGUGAAAGCCCGGGCCUCAACCUCGGAAUUGCAUUUGAAACUGGCAGACUAGAGUCUUGUAGACGGGGGUAGAAUUUCAGGUGUAGCGGCGAAAUGCGUAGAGAUCUGAAGGAAUACCAGUGGCGAAGGCGGCCCCCUGGACAAAGACUGACGCUCAGAUGCGAAAGCGUGGGGAGCAAACAGGAUUAGAAACCCCCGUAGUCC
RNAcentral lists this ribosomal RNA (292 nucleotides) under uncultured prokaryote. RNAcentral's name for it is "partial 16S ribosomal RNA". It matches the Rfam family "Bacterial small subunit ribosomal RNA", at positions 505 to 796 of the family's 1533-position model. The record is from RNAcentral.